Molecule: long non-coding RNA, 1780 nt
Filed under: Homo sapiens (human)
Lineage: Eukaryota; Metazoa; Chordata; Mammalia; Primates; Hominidae
Description: non-protein coding lnc-EVX2-11:1
Source: RNAcentral
GAGGUGGGGUAAAGAGCUGGGAUUAGAUGAAAUUGCUGUCACAUAGAGAUCUUCUAAGAUACUAGUAAUGUUCUAUUUUUUCACCUAGGUGUGAAUAUGAUCUAUGUAAUAACAAAAUAUUAAGAAAAAGAAACAUGUUUGUGUAACACAUUUUUAAAAGCAGACUUACAUGAACGUAUAUGCAACACAUAUUCUUAAUAAAGCUUAUUCUAACAAUGGGGGUAUAGACAGCCCUAAGUUGGUAACUGUUUAAAUGAGUUAGUGUUUGAUAGGUACACGAGACUCCUUUUUAUGACUUACUCUACUUUUAUAUAUGUUUGAAAUUUUUCAUAAAACCUGUUUUGAAAAUUCAAUACUUUUAAUUCUAAAUGAGUAUUUCUUAUCAAGAAUAAAAAGGAACCUAGAUUUCCAGCUUCUGCUUACAAUGUAGAAAGAUUUAAAAAGCACUGCUCCCACCCUCACAAUAACAACAAACACCAGACAAUAUGCAAAUUCACCACGGUUCUUGAACUUAUACAGCUGAGGCUGCAGGACCAACGAAUCCAAAAUCUAAGGACAGAAGAGUCACAAGCACUUGCUUACCUGAAACAGAUACUACUGGACAAUGGUAAGAAAAAGUAAGCUAAAUUUUUUAACUAAUUGCUAAAGGUUUAUUAUAAGCAAACAAGAGUCUCUAAAAACCCUGGGGGUCACAGACACAAGGGGAAUUCAUACUCAUUCAUAGGUUCUUCUCCAAGUAGACAUACUACAAAAUAGUUGACCAAGAAGCCACUGGUUUUAACCUGGGCCAUGGACCCUUACUGUUAGGAACCAGGCUGCACAGCAAGAGGUGAGCAGCUGGCAAGCAAGCAUAUAGCCCUAGCCUUGGCUCCUGUGAGUGCUGUCUUUGGAACUUUGCCUGCAAACAGCCCAAAGGAGAUGCGGAACUCCUACUUGGCAGCUAUGUGGGAGAACAUGGAGCUGAUAAUGGCUGAUGGCAGGCGCCUCCAGAUGGUAGCAGUGUCUGCAAAGCCAUCCUAUUUUUAUAAGGAUUAAAUAAGUUAAAAUUCCCUGGUACAUAAAAAGAAAAUAUAAAAGUACUAUUAUUCUAGACAUUUUUAAGAAAUCAUUUUUUACGUCUGUCUCUUCAGAGCAUCCCUGGUUUUAUAAGAUAUAAACUAUGAGAAAAUUUGGAAAGGACACAACAUAUAAUCCUUAGUGUUUACAUAAAAAUUCCUGUUAAUACUUUUGUGAAAACUAUCUUCCCUUCCCCACAAAGGAAUAAAAGAGCAUUAUUAAAAUGUUCUUGUCUCAAAAAAAAAGGUUCCUCAAACUUUUCCUUUAUCAAAUGUAAAUCACAGCUGCUCUGAUGAAAUGUUUUUUAAUUAAGUCUCUAUAUAAAGAAUGUUCUUAAAUGUCAAAUCUGCACCAAAAUUUAAUUACCUUAAAACCAUCCAUAUUUUCUAAGUGCACACUUGUUAAGAACGUUUAUUCCCAUUAUCUGCUUCACCAUGUAACUAGCAAGGGAAUCUUGGGAGUAUGUAACACAAAUUACUUGCCUUAGAAAAGACACUGUUUAUUCCACAUGUGUAAAAUUCAGUGAAUGACUUUCAGAAAAAUCAAAAGAAAGUAAAUGUAACAUCCAUACAGUUGUUUAAGCUUUAUUUUUAAAUGCAUGCAUGUUUCAAGGAAACAAAAAUUUCAAGAUACAGAAUACAACAUAUCAGAUUAAAUAAUUCAGAAUUAUUUUAAUGUAUACACAAAUAACAAUAUAAAGCACAUACAUAAGAUACAUUAUAUA